CUCCGGUUGAUCCUGCCGGACCCGACUGCUAUCAGAGUGGGACUAAGCCAUGCGAGUCAACAUAGCAAUAUGUGGCAUACGGCUCAGUAACACGUAGUCAACAUGCCCAGGGGACGUGGAUAACCUCGGGAAACUGAGGAUAAACCGCGAUAAGUCACUACUUCUGGAAUGGGUAAUGACUCAAAUCUACAUGGCCCCUGGAUUGGACUGCGGCCGAUCAGGCUGUUGGUGAGGUAAUGGCCCACCAAACCUGUAACCGGUACGGGCUCUGAGAGGAGGAGCCCGGAGAUGGGCACUGAGACAAGGGCCCAGGCCCUAUGGGGCGCAGCAGGCGCGAAACCUCUGCAAUAGGCGAAAGCCUGACAGGGUUACUCUGAGUGAUUUCCGUUAAGGAGAUCUUUUGGCACCUCUAAAAAUGGUGCAGAAUAAGGGGUGGGCAAGUCUGGUGUCAGCCGCCGCGGUAAUACCAGCACCCCGAGUGGUCGGGACGUUUAUUGGGCCUAAAGCAUCCGUAGCCGGUUCUACAAGUCUUCCGUUAAAUCCACCUGCUUAACAGAUGGGCUGCGGAAGAUACUAUAGAGCUAGGAGGCGGGAGAGGCAAGCGGUACUCGAUGGGUAGGGGUAAAAUCCGUUGAUCCAUUGAAGACCACCAGUGGCGAAGGCGGCUUGCCAGAACGCGCUCGACGGUGAGGGAUGAAAGCUGGGGGAGCAAACCGGAUUAGAUACCCGGGUAGUCCCAGCUGUAAACGAUGCAAACUCGGUGAUGCAUUGGCUUAUGGCCAAUGCAGUGCCGCAGGGAAGCCGUUAAGUUUGCCGCCUGGGAAGUACGGACGCAAGUCUGAAACUUAAAGGAUUGGCGGGGGAGCA
Molecule: ribosomal RNA, 867 nt
Filed under: uncultured archaeon
Lineage: Archaea
Description: bacterial SSU rRNA
Rfam family: Archaeal small subunit ribosomal RNA
Source: RNAcentral